AGCUACAAAUGUCAGUCAUUUGAAGGGUGGGCAGGGCAAGGAAAGAGAGUCAACCAAUACCGACUCCUCAAAUGCAGUCACAACUUCUGUGGGCUUCGACAUUCCCCAGCACCUUUCCAUUUACUACAAGCAUCCUGCUUCCGGGCUCGGCCUGGGACUCCUUUCAGUAUUCAGUAUCACAAACAUGGCCUAACCACAUCCAUAGACCCUUGCUAAUUUUAGCCUCUUUUGUGUCAUUACAAGAUACCAAAAUAAAAACGUCAAGCCAGGUUCUCCAUCCAUGCUAUGGGGGAAAGUGAUUGGCAUUCUGUGCAGUGAAGUCUUAGGACUCACCGAGUCCAUAAACACACCACCCUGGAGUUGUCCGUGUGCACCGACACUCCACACAGGGAUUCUGAGCCCUUGCUACACACAGUCACCUGGGGAAUUUCUAAAAGUCACUGAUGCCUAGGUCCUGCUCCAGCCCAAACAAACCAGAAUUUCUGGAACAGUCGACAUUUUUCCAAGUUCCCCAGAGGGGUCUAAUGUGUAGCCAGAUUUGAGAACCUAUGGCCCCUAUUCUCAAAGGGCCAUCACAGCCUCGUUUGCGUCCCUAUUUAAUAGCUGAGGAAAAGGGGUUGUGAGGUCACACCAGGAGCUGGUCAUGGCAGAGCUGAAGCUGCAGCCCCUGUCCACUGUUCCUAGGCGGGAGAAGUCGGCCGGGAGAGAACACAGCAGGGUUUGGCGCCGGCCUCGACGCCCGCGCUCCUGCCAGCUUCCUGCAUGGCAUCCCCCUCUCCAGCUGGCUCCUACAAAACAGGCUUGGCACCAUUCACUUGGCAAGCCACGUGGGAGACCACAUCAGGCCUAACUGGAAUGAAACAGGGUCAAGGGACCUUAGCUCAUACAGAAUCUUGUUUUUUGCUUUUGUUUUUAAUUCUAAGAAGCUUAUAAGCAAAAACAAUUACAUUCCUCUUUUCCCUUCUAUUGUGAUUUUCCAUCAAAGAAGCUCCAAAAAGAAUCAGAGCUGUCUCUUGAGGUUUAUGUCUUGAGUGCUUUUUAAAAUCCAUUUCAUUUUUAGGAUGGGGGCUCUGAGAGUGGGGUUUUCUUUGUUGUUGUUGUUAAUAAGUUCAAAUUCUACAAUAAAGGAACGCAAUUUCCUUCCUCUGUGCAGCUGUUGCUAAGUGGUACAAAUAAGAUUCAGUAUGAGAUGUAAUAUGGUUUGCAGGCUGCAAUUUCCACAUCCAGUGAUGGAGUUAGAGAAAUCCACAGGAAACAGAAGGAAACUUGCCUCAGUGCCGACCAUUUGUCAGCCUAUACUUAUUACAUCACUGGAGUCAUGGUUUUUGGAAACUGUUCUAUUAAUUAUUUUCAUGACUGAGAAACAAUAUUAUGUCUCUGCCCAGAAGACAACAUAAAAGCACAUGCAGAUUUUCAUCAAUCACAUUCCUAACUGAUUAUUUCUAGCAUUGGCCUGUUCAUGUAUGUAUUUUAAUAGAAAAAAACAUUACAAGCUUUAUUAUCUGCAUAUUGCAGUGGCUCCCCCUUAGGAGUUUUUCAGAGGAUAUAAUCUCAAAAUAUAGUGACAUUUUCCAACACUGUGGGGAUUCCCAAGGAUGCACAAUGAGGCGUUGGCAUUGCAAAGGCAGGAUUUGCCUGGGUUUUUGGUGGGCUGGAUCUGAGGACGUGGAUCACAAGUGUUUGUUUCAGCCAUAAUCCUCCAGGUUUCCCAUCUCCCCAAGUUUCAGAGCCCAGGAUUGGCUGCCACGUGUGAUGCUGGGUGGGUCCUGGAAUGCAGCCAGGGACCUGGGUCCUUAUCCUACAUCUGUCCUGAAGGAGAAGGUCACUUUGGGCAAGGCCACUCUCCCUGUGCCUCAGUGACUUCCUGAUCAGGUGCAGGUAAGUCAGCUGGGUAGGGCUGAGCUGAGGUCACGUUGACGGAGCAUUCUGAAGACUUACGGCUUCUAGGCAUGCUUUGGGUGUCAUUAUCAAUACAUACACCUACGUAUGUGCAUCUGAGAUGAGCAUGACUGGCUAGGUUCUGAAGACAACUUACUCCUAGCCUUCUGGUGUGAUAGGAGGCGUGGGAAAGCUGAGUUAAGGACCUCCUCCUCUGAAUGUUAGACCCCAACUAUAAUCAAAUUCUUAACUUGUGACCCUCAUACACUGAAAACUAUACAGAAUCUAUUUCCUCUCCACCAGUUGAGAAACCAUACUCAGUUACAUUCCUUAGUUGCCUUCCAUAGUUCCUUUGCAAACAGUCUAUAAGCAGCAAUUAACUAUGCAAACUGGGGAUGCUUUUGCUGCCUCUCUGAAUGUUGUCACUGAGAAUUCUGCUGGAUGUUUAAGGAACUUUUAGGAUGCAGAGUCUUCAUUAAUCAAGAUUUGCCUUUGUAAUGACCCACAGAAUGUGGAAGAAGGGGCAAAGGGAGGCCUUGGCCAACCCCUGUGUCUCCCUAAUCCUCUCACUCUGGUUGGUCUGUCUCACGGAAGCGUCCCUUUCUCCCUCUGUCUGUUUCGGGGCCUCCGGUGACCACCCACUUCCUCCUCACAGUCCAGUUACCUCACUUCUCUGCCUGGCCCUCGGGCUGCCGGGAGCACCUCCCAAGGAGAGCAGGAAGGGAAGGCAAACCACUCCUGGCCAGGGGUGCAAGCACAGGGUUAAGGGGGAGGAAACUGGAAGGACCCCAAAUCCACGGGAUGUAAGCACAUACGCAGAUAUACACACCCAGGUAAUUCUGUUCCCUAUGAGGACUAGACAUUCAGCAUCAGUUGUAAAGAUGGUUAAAGUUAUACUGGAAACUGGAAGCUUCUCUUGGAAACUGUAUCUUCCAUAGCCAAACAGGUUAAACACAAGAGGCAAGCUGGUGGUGGACUAGGAGUCAGAACCCUAAAGUUCUUGUUGCAACCUAGCCUCCUCCAGCUUCUGCAGUAGUACCUGGUGCACAGUAAAUACUGGAUGUAAAAGAGAGGCCUUGGGUAGGAAACCAGAGCAGCGGCAGGUGGGAGAGGGAUCUGUUUUGCUCCAGGCCUCUUCAGGCUGGGUUACAAGAGUCAAGGCAAAUUCCCAAGAUCCCUGAACCUCAAUCUUCUCAUCAGUAAAAUGGGUAUGAUAUAACAAGACAUUUGCCUGCUUUAUGGGGCUGCUUUGAAGAUGAAAAAUGAGAGCAUGUUAUAUAAAAAGAAAAGCUUCACCAAAAUGCUGGUGACUACUGACGUGGGGAUUCCAACUUUUGACUGAAGUCAGUGCAAAGAAAUCUUUUUUUUUAAACUUUAGGUGCUAUUCCUUAGUUAAGCGAUUGAAAGAUGACUGAGGAAGAAAAACUUCUUCCAAUUAUAUGGCUACAUGAUGGAGAUGGCCAAAGUGGCAGUGGCAAGCAGGGGAAAGAAGUGGUUAACAACAAAAAAUAAAAACAAAGGAAAAGAAGGUGGCCAUCAACUCAGAGAGGUAGCACAGGUGGUGAGUGCUUUGAUGUUAGACCUGGGUUUGAAUCAUAGCUCUGCUACUUAUUUAAUUGGGAAAACUUAGGCAAGUUAUUUAGCUAUAUUUAGCUUUGAUUACUUUCUAUAGAAUGGGAAUUAGCUGUCUUGGAAGCCUCACACAGGGAUUGAAGAUAACAUAGAAAUGGCCCGGCACAGUGAUGGCGCAGGGAAGGGGACUGCCAUCCCCCGCUGAAACGCUGGAGCACUCAGUUCAGGAAGGCUGCUGGGGUCUUCUGGUGAGCCUCUGGUCAGAAGUCACACUGUCCUGAGGCACUGAGUCACUAUGCACAAGAGGGCUUUAUACUAACAGAGGGAAGACCAAACAAGAAAUGGAUUUCUAUUCUAAACACAUGCAAAACAGCAGGCGUCAGGAAACUAAUCCAGGCUGCUGAAAUGACAAACACCUUGGCAAACACCUGAGAGAAUGCCUCCCACCAUUCUGCUCACAGCAAGUGGGAUGCAUUCUCAGAUGGCAGGUGGAACGCUCUUUGCAAGUUGUCUAAGGCUCAAUUCAGCGACCAGCUCACAGUGAGAUUUUCCUUGAAGCAGAAACAAAGAGGAGGGGGAUGCACUGCAGAGUGGGAAGCUAUGUCUAUUCCCAAUCUGGCCCCACUACUGCCGGUCCCCCUCUGUCCCUCGCUGUGUCACUGCUCUGGUGGCCUGUGCCAGCCCCAGGAUGGAGCUGGGAGGUGGGACAGUGGGAAGCCCUGGCAGGUUGAGCAGAGGCCCCGGCCCCGACGCCUGAACACGCUCCGAAACAAGGGUGCCCUCAGCCAGGAAGCCACUGGGGACCUUCUCCGGGUAGAGACCAACCGCCUCCUGCCAAGACUCUCUCUGCUCAGUUUUUAUUUUUCUCAGCAGGAUACCUCUCUCACUUACUUGCUCAUGCAGUCUACCCUCUUCUAAAGCCCCGUGUAGCUUGAUUAUAGACUCGAGGCUGUUGGAUCCAGAACUGCCUUAUCUGGAGCACUGCCCAGUGGGCCACCCCUGGUCAGGGCAUAGCCCUGCCCUCCUAAUGCUUUAUUCCAUCGCCAGGGUCCCAUCUUACCCGACUGUAAUGGGAGGAUGUCUAAAUAUGCACAGUGGUGAGGGCUACAGGAGAAACAUUUAUUUAUAUCCCAGAGAAAAUAAAUAAAGUUAAAAAAGCAAGCAGGAAGUUCCUUAAUAAGGGGCUGCUCCAUUACCACCCCCUCCCUCAACGCUUUGGGAGCAGCUGCAGGGAGCAGCUCGGAACGGGUGUGUCCUCCUCCACCCCCGCCCCCCUCCCAGACUGCGCCUGGAGCCGGGGUUCCUCCGCUCUGGCCCUGGGAGAUCCUGCAGGAAAUGGAGGAAGUAUGGACACAGCCCAGGCAUUUGGUUAAGUAUUUUUAAAAAGCUUUCCAAUUCUGCUAUUUUUUUUUUUCUCCUCACAUUCAAUAUUCUUGGUUGCUAAGUGGGAGGAAAUGUGGGGAGGUGGGAGAGGUGUGGAGAACCGAGGGAAAAUUGGCAACAUGAAAGCAUUUAUUUUCUCAUUUCUAAAGGGAGUGCAGGCAAAGGAGCGCGCUCCAGGCCGGAAGCAGCUGGCGUGCGCAGCAUCUCCUGGUAGCUGGGCCUGUGGCAAACACUCUUCCCCAAGUCCUGCUGCUGCUAAGAGGCCAGGAGCGGGGGGCUUUUAAGGAGCACAAAUAUAGGCAUUUUCUAUUUCUGCUUACAGACUAAGAAAAGUAGCAUUUAAAAAAAAAAAAGAUCUUUAUUUUCAGAACAUACCCACAAAAGGAAGAAGGCCAGUUUCCUGAUUAUCUGUUCACCAAGAGGAAGAUGGUAAUACAGGCCCUGGUUAGAAGGCGGGCUCUUGGUGAAUUCCUGCCACUCCAGCUCUGCAAGGAGUCAACUGGCUACUUGCUGGACGUGGGACUGGACAGUGGGCUGGCUCUCCAGCCUGGCUGCCUCCCUUCCAGCUGCCCUGCCCCGUGAGGCCUGUGGUCACAAGCCUGUCUAAUGAUGGGUCAGUUCACAAGGACCCAUCCCCUUAACAGGGCCCUGGUUCAGAAACUUGUAAAACAACAUCUCACACCGAACCUGCUUGCACUCUGUUACUUUCCUGACGCCCAGCCACCUUUCUUCUCCCGGGCCACCAGCCUGUGCGCCCACCUCCUGGGGGUGGCACUGGGCAAGCCACACCCGCACUGCAGUUAUGAUUUGAGUAGCACAUUUUUAGGUGCCUGACUUUGAAGAGCAUAAUGUAAGAACUUGAAAAAUACUCUGAGUUUACAAGCAGUUGUUUGCAUUUACUGGCAUCACUAGGUCCCUUUUCAUUAAACUAUUUCCCUCACAGGGCAGGGCACACUUAGUAAUCUAAAUACAUGCCAGGAAAAACUGCCCAAGACUUGAAAAUGGGCACGAUAGUUUAUUGGUGUCUUUCAGUGGCAUGCUGGGCUUGACCAGUGGAGCUUGCUGGGUGAGAGAAAUCAGGCAGAGACCAGUUGUGGAUUGAGCCUAACAGGUCACCGCGGCAGCGGAAGUCAAAGGAACCCAUGAUUUGGAGACUUCAUUGGUCCCUGGGAGAAAGUCCCCUUAGACACAGAGUGUGUGAGGCUCCACCAUUACUAUCUGCUGCUCACGAGGACCUGGAGAAUUACACAAGAGAUGUGACUCGGGUGAUAGAAAUAUCUACAAACAACCUUCCACAAUGAUCCUCAGUGAAGGGAUCUCCCGUUCCCAGUUCUACUUGGGUCUCUGUACACACCAGCUCCCUUGGUCCCUGGGCUCAUCACUACCACCCGUGUGAAAGGCCCAGUGUGAGCCCAGGUACCUUCCUGACGGUCUUCCUGUCCCCCGACUUGCCCAGCUCUCAGAAAACAUAAAGAUCUCCGAAAAUCAUCUUCAUUCCCAGCUCGAGAAACUGCAAUGAUUCUUUACUGUCUGUACAAUAAGUCACACUUCCUUUUGGGUCCCUCAGAGCACCACCCGCCGGCCACUCCUGCUUCCCACCCCACUCUGUCCGAGCAUCCCACCUAUUCCUACCAACAUGAUUCACUGGCCAAAGGCUGUGUUUCUUUCAUUACUCUGUGAAUGUGUAUGCAGGUCCUCAAUCUUACUCUCUCCUAAUCCACGUCUCUCCUUCAUUCUUUUAAUUCAGCUAAAACCCCACUAAUCAAACAAGUCUUCCACUGAUAACACUGUAGGCCUUCAUCUUCUCUACUCAGUAUGUAUCACAUUAGCUGGCGUUUGUUGUUAAUAAGAACGAGAAGAAGCAGAAGAGAGGGAGGGGUCCUGCUUACUAAGGCCUCCGGCGUUUGGCACCGCACCAGCACUACCAGCGUCAUCUUUGCAAGGGCCCUUCUCAGGAGGCGGCAUCUGCCUCCUUCAGUGUGAGCUCCAACCCCUCUCCCUCUUGCCUCCCUUCUGCCGUGCCUACAAUUGUGCUCAGAGGUCAAUGGGCCUUCAGUCAGCAUUUGCUCACGGACUACUUUAUAAACUACGGAAGAUGAAGAAAUACAUUCCUAGUGAUUUAAGGACUCCAAGGUACUUUGGAGGAGGAAAGUCUUCCCCCCACCCCCUGAGAUGGGAUGGGGGUGGUCCUGGCCGCACCACCGUAGCUCAGGGAUGGGCUGGCACCAACCCCUCCCUCCUAAUGGGACACAGGAUGCUGCCCAAGGUGGCGCUGUGGCUCCCUGGGGCAUCUGGGCUGCCGCCUCCUUAAACCUGGCUUUGCAGAAGCUUAGGACAGUGGGAUGAUGGGCCAGGUAAAGAAAGGGAUGCAACUUCUGAUCUACUAGCAGGUGAGAAUAAAGAAGGAAACCAGAUGAGGACAGGGAGUGGAUUCUGCUCAAAAACAUCCACAAAAGUCCCUGAGGCCUUUCCAGGGCUGCCUACAUGGAAUGGCAGCCAUGCCCGGUGUGUUGAGGGGAUUUUAAGGAGCCAGAAGCUAGCUCCUGCUGGUGUCUUCCUGAGGCUAGAAGGCAGUGGAGGUAGCUUGACGCCAGACACUCCCACCAAACUUGGGUCAACUGGGAGAUACGUAUCCCUCCAGAGAGAGAGGACUGUUUCCGCGGAGGAAGCUGCUGCCACAGGGUUGCCUAUCAGCAUUUGGGGGAGAUGUAUUCAGAGACCAGAGACCCUCCUGGAUGAGGGCUGGGUGCUAAGCAAUUUGGGCCACUGAGGGUCCCACCUAAGAAUGUGGAGAUGUUCUCUGGGAGGCACACCGAGUUCUUCUGCCUUAGCCAAGCUCCGAGCUUGCCUGCCGCAGGGACAGUCUUGAGGAAGGUGGGGAAGGUUUCCCUGCAUGGCAGGCAGCACUGUGGCGCUGACAGCAAUUAUCCACGAACGAUUCCUUCAACUGUACCCAAAGUACUAAAUGCCAGAGCUUGUCUCUAUGCCUCAGUUUGGGGGAACAGUUCUGUGCAAGGCUUCUUGGCUGGAAAAAGAACUUCUAAUUAGCAUGAAAUAACAGCUUUCAAACACUUGACUCAGGAUAUGGAGUUGAAAAGGUGUGGGCUGGUUUUAAGAGAGCCAGACAGGAAGAACAAUAGUACAAGUGCUGAGUACAAAUGAUGGGAAAGGCACCUGGGAGUGAGACAAGAGGGGCAGCAGGAAAGGGAGGCAGGCAGAGAAAGGAAGCUGGAGAACACAGGCAGGGGACUGACAGCAGCGCCCCGCAAACGUGGUCAGGUGUUUCCACGUGGGGAGGAAGACUGACAAGCCCAACUCAGACCCUCCCCGGGAAGCACAGGUAAAAGCAGGGGAUGGAGUCCGGGUCUCAAGGAGAUGGUGCAGCCUCUCACCCUUUGCCCCAACCUUGUGUAUAAGGCGGAGAACAAUACGGAAAACAGACCCAGUGAUGCCCUCAUCAGAUCUGCUGAGCCCUGUUCACACAUUGCAAGACUGUGGGAAAACAUCUGGCUGGGUGUCUGUUCCAUCAGCACAGACAUGAAGAGCACACAAACGAUGAUCAGCAUUAAUUUGCUGCAGGUCAUGUCCAGAUAUUCUAGAUGCAGUCUACUGAGGAAACCCCGAGGCAACAAACAAACAAAACAAAAAACAAGUUAUGAAAAGACCUGGGGCCAAUCAGCACUGACUGCCUUUCAACAUGAGGAACUGCCAGCCUGACAGCGCAGAAGAGAGGCCAGGCUGAGACCAUCUGCUGACAUAUCACCGGGUCCAAUCAUGAAUCAAGAUGCCUCUCUAAGUAUACUCACAAGUCACAUGCUGGGAAAAUGGUCUACUCGUAUCUCCUAUCCCUGGCUCAAAGUUUAUCAACCUAGUUAAAACACUUCUGUUCAGAGACUCAUUGAAAAUUUACAGGAAAUUCAUGACUAGAAAAGCCCUGUGCAAAUACCAAUCUCACUGUUAUGGGCAGCUGGAACUUAGCGUCUGAUACAAUGCCUUUCGUGAUCUGGCUCCUGCCCACGUUCCCAGCCUCCGUCUGCCCACUGCCCACCACGGACAUCCCCCGUUCAAGCCAUGACUGAGUUCCUCUAGAAGUCCCUCUCCUUUGUGCCCCUGAGUCUUUGCCCAUGCCACUCCUUCUGUCUGGAAUGGCUUUCCCAUCCAACCAUUUCUGCUUUUUAAGCAUCUACUCAUCUUUCAAGAUUCAGGUCAAAUAGCACAUGUUCACUGAAGCCGGCCUGAAGUAAUAGGAGCUCAAGCUCCCAAAUGGAAAUGCAAUCCCAAAAAAUACAAGCGCUCUCAACUGUGCAAUAAUAAGCCACAAGCCAGGAAACUCUUGCUUUCAAGACAAGUAAAAUAAUAACAGUAACAACAGCAGCUGCCUGACACUUUAAAUAUUUAAUCGCUGAUUCUUACAACCCUGCAAGUUAGGUUGAGAGGCAAGCAAUUUGCCCAAGUUCACACUGCCAGCCACUGGUAAAGCAGAAAGGCAAACCCGAAUCCGUCUGACUCCAAAGCACUGAACAGGAAACAAAGGGGAACAACAGAAAAUAUUCUAACCACACUACUGACACUAAUGAAGACACACAGAAUUAUCUAACCCAUCGCCAAAUAUUUCAAACACUAAAACGUCAAAGAUCUGUGUUAGAUACUGUGUGGAAUAAAAAUACAGUUCCUUGCCCUCAGAGCACUUACUGUCCCAUCAAAAGAAAAGACCUGGUCAUGAGUUUUAGGCAGGACUGCCGGCUGAGGGACAGACUACAGCCCUGCAACCUGAGUAGGGCUGCAGGAAAUGAGGAGGUGGGCUGCUGGGGUGCUAUUCCCAGCACACAUCAUACGCGGCCCUUUGAAAAAUGAUCACAUUUAUCCAUGCUUUUAUGAGUUGCCUCUUUCACCCAAAAGCCAGGCACAUUUGAAGGACCCGACCCAGGUAAUCAAAGUUUCACUUUUAAUUAAAAUAAACAGAAAUGACAUUUUACCGUAUUUUUUGGAAUUUUUUUUUUAAACACUCCCAAAAUAACUCUAGAGAUAACAACCAUGUUUGGCUAAGUGUAGAGCUUAGAAAAGAAACGCAGCACCCUUGGUGAAGCUCUGGGGCAUGUGGCAUUGUGGCUUUUCACUGGGCACUUUAGGGUAUGUAUCUCAGUGGCAUUUUAUCAGGGCCAUGUUCACUGUCUAAUGAUCAUCUCCAGGAAGACUUCCUUGACCCCCUGGAAACUGCCCCCAGUCACUGGUCACUCAUCGCUAGCACAUGGCUCUAGCUUAGCUCUAUCUUGGGUCUACUGCCACGAGUGCCAGACUUCAGACCCCACUCCUUGAGCUCUUCGCAGACCCCACGGCUCCCUGUCUGUGCUCCUGGUGUUCCAUCCACCUGCCUGGAAGACAACCCCAACUGUGACAACCCCGCUGUUGACAUCUUCCAUGACCCCCAUCCCACGCAGAAUCCACCUCCUACUUCAUCUCACCAGCAUACAAUAUUUUUUGUAAUGUUUCUUCAUCCCAUGUUUCUACAGUUGAUCACCUAUACAUCAAUGUGCCUAAUAAUGAAUUUGAAUUGGUUCAUCCUUUAGUCAAUCAUUUAAAAAGUGUCUGUUAUGCUCCUGAGGCUAUAAAGUGGAAUGAGACAUGGUCUUUCCCUGCCAAAAGCUCACAGUCUAGAGUUAUAUACACAGGAUAUGUGAUGAACACAGACAGAUGUGUGGACAAAGUUCCUUGGCAACACAAAAAGGAGACAGAUUCUGCUUGGGGCUCAUGGAAGACAACAGAGAAGACAAAGGAAUUCCACUGUUGGCGGGAGAGGGCUGCUGGGGAGGAGCCUUGCAGGCGGGCGACUGACCAUCUCGAGCACAGCAGAGAGAUUUGCGUGUCCACAGUGAGCUCAACGAAUGGAGUCUGGAAUCUGGGAUAGAAGGCUGGGGUCCAAGAUAAAGCCGAAGGGUAGGUAUUCCUAAAUUCUGACAUCUAAUACACCUUACAAAGCUUUCUGAUGAAGAGCUCUCAAUGAGAAUCAAUUGGAAAAGCCUACAGAUAUACUGAAGUAACAAUUUCCUCCAAUCUUACUUGGCAGUAUUAAAAAUGCACUCAUUAAGUACUGCAAGGAGGAAACACACCUAUUAACACACAAAACCUUCACUAACUAACUGACCCAGUAAAUGCUGUAUUCAAGGCAGAUGAUUCAGAAAUAAAAUCAUAAGAACUUUGAACAUUUGGUAUUCUGUGCUGACCUGUUUGUGUGCCUUGGGCUCAGCAUGCCAGGGUCUUGCUCUUUGUUUACCUGCUGCAUGUAGGCAAGGAGGCAAAACAGCUGUGCAGAAAAGCAAAUGGUCUCUGCCCAAGAGGGGCAGUGGCCACGGGGGCCUGGAAUACCACCUCCACCUCUCACUUCCAGGGAGCCUGACCUGAGAGCUGGCUGCCCAACCCCCAAAAGAAAGCAAGCAUCUAUCACCAGGUAAAAGAAAUACUCUAUCAGGCAGAGGUUGGGAUAGUGAGCAGGCAAGCAUGCUGAAAUGGAAUUUUAAAUCGGGAAGAUGGUUUGGCAGCCACAGAUCAGAAUGGGAAGAGAAACCAAAAGAGGUGCCCCUAAAGCAUGUGGUAACCAGGAGAAGAGGGAUGGAAAUCUGAAACCAGAUGAGUCAGCUGGCCACAGAGUGAAAGGAUUGAGAAGCAGCCCGUCACCAGCUCAGGGGAGGUAUGCCAUCAAACAAAGGUAGCCGAUCCGCCAGAAGGGGAAGGAGGGCUUCCAGGUUCCAGUGUGGCUUUCAUGAAGGAAAUGUAUUUCAAUUCAUUAUUCCCAACAUUUCCGAUGGCCCCCUCUGUGCUAGGCUUGGCACCUUUGCUCUCCUGGCCAGGUUUCCAAUCCCAGAAGGUGGUUUUCUCUGCAAAAACAGCCUCUGAUCCUGGGCUGAGUCAAUGUCGCUGAAGAUCAGUACUGAGAGGCCUGAGCUUCCUGGACUGCCACCAGGGAAGCGAUGAGGCUGGUUUCCAGCUGUGAGGGACCCAGAACUGAGACUUCAAACUGCCCUGGGGAUCCUCUGACAACCGCUGGAAGGGAUGGGAGGCAUGGAAGGAGUAUAUUGACGGCUCCCCCUAGAUACCAAAUACUGCUUGGGGUCUCACUAAUGGGGAGUGUUUCAUCAGUGUCAACUGAAUGAAUGAUCUAACUAGUCAAUGGUUACACAGGAAAUACACACUUUUGAUCAUCUGGCUUACCUAAUUGCUGUAUUGACAUGUAGUUCAUCAGCUCAUUAGAAAAAAAAUGCAGAUUUUUCCAAAUAAUCUACAGCUGGAAAAGGCCUUGAGAGGUCCUGCAAUGCUUUGUCACUCCGAAUGUGGUCUAGAGCAGGCAGCCUCCGCAUCCCCAGGAGCUGCUGAGAAAUGCAGACUACCCAUUCUUGACCCAGUGGAUCAGAAUCUUCAUGUAACAAGAUUCCCAGGUGAUCAGUGUACAAAAUUUAAGUUCAAGAAGUAUCCCUUGAGUUCAUCACUCUCUAAUCUUAACCUUAAAUGGUCUGAUUUUUUUUUUAAAGAUCUCCAAGAAAAAAAGAGUUCCCAUAGCCCCUUUACUUAGGAAAUGCUACCUAUGGAUUUCAUUCCAGUAAGAAUUUUGGGUGUAUUUUGUUCUUAAACUCAGUGGGUAUUCUGACCAACCUCCUACCUUAAGCUCACAAAGGGCACCCCACCUGGGGGCAUGAACAGAUGCUUCCCUUCCUUCUGGAGGGAUUCCCUGGAUGCCUCUCUGAUGGCUGUGUAUACCUGCCCCUCUCCAGGUUGUCCCUGAGUGUCUCCAGGGAGGGUCAGUGUACCCACUCAGGGGCACCACUGGCAUGGUCACCCACAUACAGGGUACCUCCUGAGCCUGCAGAAUACCAAAGUAAUCACUGCCAUGAGAUCCUUUUCAGGGCUGGAAAACUCAAAUGUCUUCCAGAACCAGGCAA
Manis pentadactyla (Chinese pangolin) is the source of this 12764-nucleotide long non-coding RNA. RefSeq lists it as uncharacterized. The record is from RefSeq and is a predicted model, not a curated record. Lineage: Eukaryota; Metazoa; Chordata; Mammalia; Pholidota; Manidae. The transcript is spliced from 3 exons.